Molecule: ribosomal RNA, 617 nt
Filed under: uncultured fungus
Lineage: Eukaryota; Fungi
Description: eukaryotic LSU rRNA
Rfam family: 5.8S ribosomal RNA (bases 271-425)
Source: RNAcentral
AGUAAAAGUCGUAACAAGGUAUCUGUAGGUGAACCUGCAGAUGGAUCAUUUCGAUGAAAACCUUUUUUCUGAGGUGUGGCUCGCACCUGUCUAACUAAACUUGAGCUACCCAAUUUCAACACGGUUGCAUCGGUUGGCUGUCAAACAGUGCCUCGGCGCUGGGAGGCGGUCGACACACAACACAAACACUUUUGAUGAUUUAGGAUUUUGAAUGAAGUUCAUUUUUACGAUGGAACCGACUGGUAAUGCGGUCGUCUAAAUCUAAAAAACAACUUUUGGCAACGGAUCUCUUGGUUCUCCCAUCGAUGAAGAACGCAGCGAAUUGCGAUAAGUAAUGUGAAUUGCAGAAGUGAAUCAUCGAAUCUUUGAACGCACCUUGCGCUCCCGGCAGAUCUAAUCUGGGGAGCAUGCCUGUUUGAGGGCCGCGAAUUGUUUCGAACGACAGCUUUUUUUCUUUGUGAAAAAGUUGGCGGAUCGGUAUUGAGGGUUUGCCUUUUACCAUGGCUCCCUCGAAAUGCAUUAGCGCAUCCAUUUGAUAGGCAAGACGGACGAAAGCUCGAUUUUCGCCCUCUCUUCCCUGCCGGGUUUUGAUAAUAUCAGGACUUCGGAGGCGGAGA